Molecule: ribosomal RNA, 253 nt
Filed under: uncultured bacterium
Lineage: Bacteria
Description: partial 16S ribosomal RNA
Rfam family: Bacterial small subunit ribosomal RNA
Source: RNAcentral
UACGUAGGGGGCUAGCGUUGUCCGGAUUUAUUGGGCGUAAAGAGCGUGUAGGCGGCCUGGUAGGUCUGCUGUGAAAACUCGAGGCUCAACCUCGAGCUGUCGGCGGAAACCACUUGGCUAGAGUCCGGAAGAGGAGAGUGGAAUUCCUGGUGUAGCGGUGAAAUGCGCAGAUAUCAGGAAGAACACCUAUGGCGAAGGCAGCUCUCUGGGACGGUACUGACGCUGAGACGCGAAAGCGUGGGGAGCGAACAGG